Molecule: ribosomal RNA, 253 nt
Filed under: uncultured bacterium
Lineage: Bacteria
Description: partial 16S ribosomal RNA
Rfam family: Bacterial small subunit ribosomal RNA
Source: RNAcentral
UACGUAGGCAGCGAGCGUUGUUCGGAAUUACUGGGCGUAAAGAGUGUGUAGGCGGUUCUCUAAGUCUGGUGUGAAAUCUCCCGGCUCAACUGGGAGGGUGCGCCGGAAACUGGAGUGCUCGAGUGUGGGAGAGGUAAGCGGAAUUCCUGGUGUAGCGGUGAAAUGCGUAGAUAUCAGGAGGAACACCUGUGGUGUAGACAGCUUACUGGACCAUGACUGACGCUGAGACACGAAAGCGUGGGUAGCAAACAGG